Molecule: non-coding RNA, 24 nt
Filed under: Arabidopsis thaliana (thale cress)
Lineage: Eukaryota; Viridiplantae; Streptophyta; Magnoliopsida; Brassicales; Brassicaceae
Source: RNAcentral
AUGUAUUGCCUCUGUGAUGCUGUC